AACGAACGCUGGCGGCAGGCCUAACACAUGCAAGUCGAGCGCGCCCUUCGGGGUGAGCGGCGGACGGGUGAGUAACGCGUGGGAACGUGCCCUUUUCUACGGAAUAGCCUCGGGAAACUGAGAGUAAUACCGUAUACGCCCUUUGGGGGAAAGAUUUAUCGGAAAAGGAUCGGCCCGCGUUGGAUUAGGUAGUUGGUGGGGUAAUGGCCUACCAAGCCGACGAUCCAUAGCUGGUUUGAGAGGAUGAUCAGCCACACUGGGACUGAGACACGGCCCAGACUCCUACGGGAGGCAGCAGUGGGGAAUCUUAGACAAUGGGGGCAACCCUGAUCUAGCCAUGCCGCGUGAGUGAUGAAGGCCUUAGGGUUGUAAAGCUCUUUCAGCUGGGGAGAUAAUGACGGUACCAGCAGAAGAAGCCCCGGCUAACUCCGUG
Molecule: ribosomal RNA, 433 nt
Filed under: uncultured bacterium
Lineage: Bacteria
Description: partial 16S ribosomal RNA
Rfam family: Bacterial small subunit ribosomal RNA
Source: RNAcentral